Long non-coding RNA from Micropterus salmoides (largemouth bass), 1529 nucleotides. RefSeq lists it as uncharacterized. The record is from RefSeq and is a predicted model, not a curated record. Lineage: Eukaryota; Metazoa; Chordata; Actinopteri; Centrarchiformes; Centrarchidae. The transcript is spliced from 2 exons.
UCUCUGACAGACUCCGGUGGAACUUUUAUAUUCUAAUUGGUGUCUGUUUUUUGUUGAUAAUAAAAAUGUUGGUAAAGGUUCAAGCUUUCUUAUCUGGCCCAAGUCUUGAAUUUUUACACGACAUUAGGGUCAUGUGAUCACUGCAAAAGGGAAAAAGAAAAAAAGAAGAGCCCUCUCACCCCAAAGCAAAUUGAAGCAUUUAGAAACAGGUAAAUUAACUUUUUAUGGAUGAUGCUCACAUUAAGGCACCAUGGGCAGAAACCGCACAUGGGGAAGGCCUGAGAUUUCAUGUUGAUUUAAAACGGGCUCUUCAGUCUCCACCGACCCUCGGUCUUCCUGACUGUAACAAACCUUUCACACAGACUGUUGACGAAAAGGGGGGGUACAUGACCUCAGUACUACUACAAGACCAUGGGGGACGACUGAGACCUGUAGCCUAUUUCUCAUCCAAACUGGACUCUGUUGCAGCCAAACUGCCUGAGAGCUGUGGCGGCUGCUGAAAAGCAGCCAUGGCAUCACGUGACAUUGUGGGUUAUUCAGACUUUACAUUAUUUGUUCCACAUGCUGUGUCGAUGAUUUUGCUUGAACAAAAAACAUCUCAUCUCUCCACAGCCAGGUGGCUGAGAUACAACACCUUGUUGCUUGAUAUGUCUAACAUCACUGUUAAGAGGUGCACUGUGUUAAAUCCUGCUACUCUCUCUCUACUCUCAAGUCUGCUCUCCAAGGGCAGACUUACAGGAGACUCCUCUAACAAACCCAGACAUGGAGUUGUUUGUGGACGGCUCAGCAUCACGUGAUCCAGCAACUGGAAAAAAUCGAGCAGGUUUUGCAGUAACAACUUUGCAUGAGACAAUUUUAUCAAAACCGCUCCCUUCAAACUAUUCUGCACAAGCAGCAGAGCUAGCUGCACUGACAGAAGCAUGUAAAUAUGCAAAGGACAAAACUGGAAACAUUUUUACAGACAGACGUUAUUCUUGGGGUGUUAUUCAUGAUUUUGGGAGAUUGUGGGCAAACAGGAAGUUUUUAACAUCCACAGGCAAACCUAAUGCUCAUCACACACUGGUUGAUGAACUACUUGAUGCUGUGCUGUUGCCCAAAAUGGUUGCUGUGUGUAAAUGUGACGCUCACGCGAACAAACUUGAUCCUAUCUAACAGGGGAAUGCCAGAGCUGACCUUGCAUCGUUCCCCGGGACGACCCGACAGGCCGGGUUUUGGAUUUUGGAUUUCUGUUAUUCAGCCACUCACCUGUCAAAAACACCAUCCCAAAGGCCGCAUAAAAGAAACUGCACGAUCUGGAGCCAGGGGACUGGACUGUGGUGAAGGACUUUAGGAGAAAGCAUUAGUGGGCUCGCAGGUGGACUGGGCUAUUUCAGAUGCUGCUAACAACAGAAACAGCAGUAAAAGUGGCUGAAAGAGCAACUUGGAUUCACGCCACAGACCAGGUGAAGAUGGAGAUCAGUGAGUGAGCUGAGCUUUCCCCUGCCUUGUGUUCCUAGGGAGGGAGGGGAGUGAAGAUCUCUGAGACCACC